This 10163-nucleotide unclassified non-coding RNA is filed under the name Portunus trituberculatus (swimming crab). RNAcentral describes it as "spectrin beta chain-like, transcript variant X2". The record is from RNAcentral. Lineage: Eukaryota; Metazoa; Arthropoda; Malacostraca; Decapoda; Portunidae.
GUGUUUGGUGUGUGGGAAGAUAGUGUGAUGCAGUUAUGGUUUUGUGUAUGGCAUCAUUCUGUUAUCACUUCCAACAUCCUGUUUUGUGGUGCCAGUGAAGUUGUGACUCUAAUGUGGUGAGCUGUGGUCAGCAUGAAAGGCUUGUGAAAGGGAACAAUUAACCCUUUAAUGGUGAACAUAUUAGAAAUUAUUCCCACUCAAAAUGGAGAGGAAGGAAGCAAGGAAGGACUCAACAAGUUCCGGCAGCAGUAGCUCCAGCAGCAGCAGUAGCAGUACCAGUAGUAGUAAGGAGAUAUUUGAGGAAGCCAGGGAGGGGAAGGAAGCAGAUCAGGUGGAGCAGCAGCAGCAGCAGCAGCAGCAGCACAGCCCAGAUGGGGAUAGAUGGAGAGACUCUCUCAACCAGGCAUGGAUAGAGUCCCUUGGAGAAACUGGUGAACAGUCUCACACCAUUCAGGUCACUAGUGGCACCACUGGCCAGGUCACGGCCACGGAGGUGACCCAGCAGUGUUCCAGCAGUGCUGGUGGCCAGGUGCUGACAACACGGGUCUCUCAGGACUCCUUUGUGGACUACAGUGGUCAGGUGUUGACGAUGCAGGUGUGCCAGGAGUCUUGCAGCAGUAAUGGUGGGCAGGUGUGCACAACUCAGGCAUCUCAGGAGGUGUCGAGCUGUGCCACAGGCCAAAUCCUGACCAAGCAGAUCUCUCAGGAGUCCUGCAGCAGUGUCAGUGGUCAGGUCACAGUCAUGCAACUGUCCCAGGAGGUUUUUAGCGGUGCCAAUGGCCGAGUCUUGACCUCACAGGUUUCCCAAGAGUCGCAUGGCAGCGGCAGUGGUGGUGGGCAAGUGUCGGUGGCACGGGUCACUCAAGGCUCUGGCAGCACUCCCCGGCGUGGACUCUUGAUGACACAGUUGUCCCGAGAAUCACUGGGCAGUGCUGACGGUCGGGUCACCAAGAGGCAAGUGUCCCAGGAGUCCACCAACAGUGAGACAGUGACCACUUAUGAUCAGGUAGUGUCUGGCGGCUACAAGCGGAGCCACCGGUCCUCCAGUAGCUCAUCCCUGGACACUGCGGAGGCCAAGGAUCACAUAGGACACAGGAGGAAGAGGAUGAGUGCCAGCGAGUAUUCAAGCCAAGAGUCUGACAGUGGAGGCUGCAGCAGCACGCCCAUGUCCCCGCUCAGCACGAAGUCCCCAGAGCUGCAGGAGAUAAUAAGACAGUCUGCAUUGUCAUCUGGCACCGUAGAGAUGAACCCUCCCUCUGCUGGUGAAGAACCUGUGCUGAGUGAGAUGAAGUUUGAGCUGUCCAGUUGGCCGUCCAGGAGUGAGUCAGUGCGCAAGGUGAAGGUGAUGGCACACAAACCGGUCAAGAGGUCUGUUAGCAGUGACCAGUCUGUGGAGCGCAUUUACACAGGUGCCAUGGAGCGCCACAUUAAGGAGCUCAAAGAUGAGCGAGAGAGUGUGCAGAAGAAGACCUUCAUGAAAUGGGUCAACUCACACCUGGUCCGGGUCAGCACACGCAUUGGUGACCUGUACGUUGACCUGCGCGAUGGCAAGCAGCUCCUCAAACUGCUGGAGAUCCUGUCAGGGGAGCGGCUGCCCCGCCCCACCAAGGGAAAGAUGAGGAUCCACUGCCUGGAGAACGUGGACAAGGCCUUACAGUUCCUGCGGGACCAGCGGGUGCACCUGGAGAACAUGGGGUCGCACGAUAUAGUGGACGGCAAUGCACGCCUCACCCUCGGCCUCAUCUGGACCAUCAUCCUCCGCUUCCAGAUCCAGGACAUCACCAUUGAGGAGACAGAGAACCAGGAGACAAAGAGUGCCAAGGAUGCUCUUCUCCUGUGGUGCCAGAUGAAGACUGCUGGCUAUCACAAUGUCAACAUCAGGAACUUCACCACCUCGUGGAGGGACGGCCUCGCCUUCAACGCCAUCAUCCACAAGCACCGUCCCGACCUGGUGCAGUACGAAAAGCUGUCGCGUUCAAACCCCAUCCACAACCUCAACAAUGCCUUCACCACCGCAGAAAACAAACUCGGCCUCACAAAGCUGUUGGACGCAGAGGACAUCUUUGUGGAGCAGCCUGACGAGAAGUCCAUCAUCACCUACGUGGUCACCUACUACCACUACUUCUCCAAGCUGAAGCAGGAGACGGUGCAGGGUAAGCGUAUCGGCAAGGUGGUUGGCAUCGCCAUGGAGAAUGACAGGAUGAUCAAGGAGUACGAGAACCUCACCUCGGAUCUCCUCAAGUGGAUUGAGAUGACCAUCGAGAGUCUCAACGACAGAGCCUUUGCCAACUCCCUCACCGGAGUGCAGACACAGCUGAUACAGUUCAAUACCUACCGCACAGUGGAGAAACCUCCCAAGUUUGUGGAGAAAGGCAACCUGGAGGUGCUGCUCUUCACUCUUCAGUCCAAGAUGAGAGCCAACAACCAGAAGCCAUACCUGCCCAAGGAGGGCAAGAUGAUCAGCGACAUCAACAAGGCCUGGGAGCGCCUGGAGAAGGCCGAGCAUGAGAGGGAGCUCGCCCUCAGGGAGGAAUUGAUUCGCCAGGAGAAGCUGGAGCAGCUGGCUGCGAGGUUCAACCGCAAGGCUGGGAUGAGAGAGACCUGGCUGUCCGAGAACCAGCGCCUCGUCUCCCAGGACAACUUUGGCUUUGACCUGGCUGCUGUGGAGGCUGCUGCAAAGAAGCACGAGGCCAUCGAGACGGAUAUCUUUGCCUACGAGGAGCGUGUGCAAGCCGUGGUGGCCGUGGCACAGGAGUUGGAGGCAGAGAACUACCAUGACAUUGAGCGCAUCAACGCCAGGAAGGACAAUGUUCUCCGAUUGUGGAACUACCUGCUGGAAUUGCUGCGCCUGCGCCGCAUGAGACUGGAAUUGUCCCUACAGCUCCAGCAGAACUUCCAGGAGAUGAUUUACAUCCUGGACUCCAUGGAGGACAUGAAGGUGCGCCUCUUGAGCGAGGACUAUGGCAAGCACCUCAUGGGCGUGGAGGACCUGCUACAGAAGCACUCCCUCCUGGAGGCAGACAUCAACGUGCUGGGUGAGCGCGUCAAGACGGUCAUUGAACACUCCCAGAGGUUCCUGGACGACGAACAGGUGGAGGGAUACAGGCCCUGCGACCCGUCCAUCGUGCUAGAGCGCGUGCAGCAGCUGGAGGACGCCUACGGUGAGUUGGUGAAGCUGGCCGUGGAGCGUAGGCUGCGGCUGGAGGAGUCUCGUAAGCUGUGGCAGUUCUACUGGGACAUGGCAGAAGAAGAGAACUGGAUCAAGGAGAAGGAACAGAUCUUGUCCACCUCAGACAUUGGCCAUGAUCUGAUCACUGUCAACCUUCUGCUCACCAAGCACAAGACUGUGGAGGAGGAGCUCUCCUCUCACGAGCCGCAGCUCAUGGCUUGCGUCAAGAUUGGAGAGGAACUCAUUGCCCAGCAACACUUUGGCUCUGACAAGAUUCAGGAGAGAAUUGAUGAAAUUAUGGGCAUGUGGAACAACCUCAAGGAGAAGUCUGCCAACCGCAAGAAGCGGCUGACGGAUGCCGUGGACCUGCACCAGUUCUACACCGAGGCUGACGACGUGGACACCUGGAUGCUGGACAUCCUGCGCCUGGUGUCCAGUGAGGACACUGGCAGGGAUGAAGCCACCGUCCAGUCCCUCCUCAAGAAACACAAGGACGUCACAGAGGAGCUGAAGAAUUAUGCCACCACCAUCGAGGCCCUCCACCAGCAGGCCUCGGAACUCAACGAAAUCGACAGGGAAUCACCCGAUGUUGUGGAGAGACUCGCUUCCAUUGACAGAAGGUACAAGGAACUGUUAGAAUUGGCCAAGAUGAGAAAGCAGAGGCUGCUUGAUGCUCUGUCCCUGUACAAGCUGUUCACCGAGGCUGAUGGUGUGGAGCAAUGGAUCGGGGAGAAGGAGCGCAUGCUGCAGACCAUGGUGCCUGCCAAGGACAUCGAGGACUGUGAAAUCAUGAAGCACAGGUAUGAAGGAUUUGAGCAGGAGAUGAAUGCCAAUGCAAGCCGCGUGGCCGUGGUCAACCAGCUUGCUCGCCAGCUGCUGCAUGUGGAGCAUCCCAAUUCAGAGGACAUUGUGGCCCGCCAGAACCAGCUGAACCAGCGCUGGGCGGAGCUCAGAGAGAAAGCCGAGAACAAGCGUGAAGAACUCAACUCUGCCCACGGCGUUCAGACAUUCCACAUUGAAUGCAGAGAGACAGUCUUGUGGAUUGAGGACAAGAAGAGAGUCCUGAUGGAGACUGCUGACCUGGGAACGGACCUGAGUGGCAUCAUGACCCUGCAGCGCCGCCUGUCUGGCAUGGAGCGUGACCUCGCCGCCAUCCAGGCCAAGCUGGACUCUCUGGAGAGGGAGGCCGACAAGAUCAGUCAGGAGCAUCCUGAGGAGGCCGAGCUGAUCCGCGAGCGUGUUGAACAGAUCCGUGCCGUGUGGGACCAACUGACACAGCUGCUGAAGGAGCGCGAUGCCAAGCUGGAGGAGGCCGGCGACCUCCACCGCUUCCUGCGUGACCUGGACCACUUCCAGGCCUGGCUGACCAAGACCAUGACCGAUGUGGCCUCAGAGGACAUCCCUUCAAACCUUGCCGAGGCAGAGAAGCUACUGAGCCAGCACCAGUCCAUCCGAGAGGAGAUCGACAACUACACGGAGGACUACACCAAGAUGAUGGAGUAUGGCGAGCGCAUCACCGCGGAGGACGUCACCCCGGCGGACGACGCCCAGUACAUGUUCCUGAGGGAGCGUCUCAAGGCCCUGAAGGAUGGCUGGGCAGAGCUGCACCAGAUGUGGGAGAACAGACAACAGCUCUUGUCACAGUCCCUCAACCUGCAGAUGUUCCUGCGAGAUGCCAAGCAGGGUGAGGUGCUCCUCAGCCAGCAAGAACACUACCUGAGCAAGGAUGAGACUCCCACCAACCUGGAACAAGCAGAAAACCUCAUCAAGAGACACGAAGCCUUCCUCACCACCAUGGAGGCAAAUGACGAGAAGAUCAAUGGAAUCUGUCAGUUUGCACAGAGAUUGCUGGAUGAGGGACACUAUGCCGUCGACAAGAUCCAGAAGAAGGCAGAAAAUAUUGAAGAGAGGCGGCAGCAGAACAGAGAACGGGCCAUGGAACAAAUGGAACGAUUACGGGACCAACUGCAGGUGCACCAGUUCCUACAAGACUGUGAAGAACUCAAUGACUGGGUGCAGGAGAAACACAUCAUUGCCCAGGACGAGAGCUACCGCUCUGCCAAAACCGUUCACAGCAAGUGGACUCGCCACCAGGCCUUUGAGGCGGAGAUUGCCAGCAACAAGGACAGGCUGGUCAGAGUGCAGCAGGCUGGGGAGGAACUGGUCAAGGAGAAACCAGAAAUGGCUGAGAUGAUCGGGCCAAAGAUUUCUGAGCUGAAUCAGCACUUUGAGGACUUGGAAAGCACCACAAAGGAGAAGGGCGAACGACUCUUCGAUGCCAACAGGCAAGUCCUGUACGAACAGACGUGCGACGACAUCGAUUCCUGGAUGAGUGACCUGGAGAAACAGAUUGAGGGCGGAGACACAGGCAUGGACUUGACCUCUGUAAAUAUUUUGAUGCAGAAGCAACACUUGAUUGAAACACAAAUGGCAGUGAAGGCCAAGCAGGUGGAACAGCUGGAGAGUCAGGCAGACUACCUGCAGCGCAUGGAUCCAGAGAAGACAGAAAAGGUCAAGUCAAUGAAGGCCAAGGUGGAGGCCAAGUUUGAGUCCCUAAAGGCACCACUGGUCGACCGCAACGAAGCCCUCAAUAAGAAGAAGGAGGCUUUCCAGUUCAGGCGAGAUGUGGAGGAUGAGAAGCUCUGGAUCCAGGAGAAGAUGCCUCAGGCCACCAGCUCCGAGUACGGCAACUCCCUCUUCACCGUCCACAUGUUGAAGAAGAAGUUGCAGAGUUUGAGCACAGAGAUCGACAACCAUGAGCCCAGGAUCAACCUGGUGUGUGAGAAUGGACGCAAGCUCAUCGAGUCGGGACAUGCGGACGCAGACGAGUUCCACAAGCUGCUGGAGGAGCUGCUGGACGACUGGGCCAAGCUGAAGGACGCCAUGGAGUUCCGACGCUCCAAACUGAUGGUUUCGGAGAAGGCCCAGCAGUACCUGUUUGACGCCAGCGAGGCUGAGGUCUGGAUGAGUGAGCAGGAGCUGUACAUGAUGGUAGAGGACAGAGGCAAGGAUGAACUCUCUGCCCAGAACCUGAUGAAGAAGCACCAGAGCCUCGAGAGUGACGUCACCGACUACGCCGAGACCAUCCGACAGCUGGGCGAGACAGCCAGACACCUCAUCAGUGAAGAACACCCCGACAGUGAACAGAUCAGCAAAAGACAGUCCCAGAUUGACAAGCUGUAUGCCGGCCUGCGGGACCUGGCGGUGGAGAGGCGCAGCAAGCUGGAUGAGGCCCUGAAGCUCUUCAUGCUGAACAGAGAAGUGGACGACCUGGAACAAUGGAUUGCCGAGAGAGAGGUCGUGGCCGGCUCUCACGAACUUGGCCAGGACUACGACCACGUUACGAUGCUCCGAGACAGAUUUAAGGACUUUGCGAGAGACACAGAGACCAUCGGCAACGAGCGAGUCGCGGCUGUCAACGAGAUUGCCGACCAGCUUAUCUCAGCCGGCCACUCUGAUGCGGCCACCAUCGCUGAGUGGAAGGACGGCCUGAACGAGUCUUGGGCUGACCUGCUGGAGCUCAUUGAGACACGCACACAGAUGCUUGCCGCCUCAUGGGAGCUGCACAAGUUCUUCCAUGACUGCAAGGACGUGUUGAGUCGCAUCCUUGAGAAGCAGAACAGCAUUUCAGACGAGCUCGGCCGUGACGCUGGCUCCGUGUCAGCCCUGCAGAGGAAACACCAGAACUUUGUCCAAGAUUUGGUUAUGCUCCAGCAGCAGGUGCAACAAAUUCAGGAUGACUCUUCUAAGCUGCAAGCUGCGUAUGCGGGCGACAAAGCUCGAGAAAUCACAAACAGAGAGGCAGAAGUUGUGUCUGCCUGGCUGAACUUGCAGGGUAUGUGUGAAGACCGCAGAGUUAAGCUCAGCGACACCGGUGACCUGUUCAAGUUCUUCAACAUGGUGCGCACACUCAUACUGUGGAUGGACGAUGUUAUCAGACAGAUGAACACUACCGAAAAACCAAGGGAUGUGAGUGGUGUAGAGUUGCUGAUGAACAACCACCAGAGUCUGAAGGCAGAAGUUGAUGCCCGGGAGGACAACUUCAAUGUAUGUGUGUCGCUGGGCAAGGAGCUGCUGUCCCGCAACCAUUACGCCACGCCGGAGAUCAAGGAGAAGCUCAUGUCCCUCAGCAACCAGCGCAUCAACAUGCUGCAGCGCUGGGAGGAGCGAUGGGAGCACUUACAGCUCAUUCUGGAGGUGUACCAGUUUGCUCGCGACGCUUCAGUGGCAGAGUGUUGGCUCAUGGCACAGGAACCUUAUCUUGUAUCAACUGAAUUUGGUAGAUCAAUUGAUGAGGUGGAGAACCUGAUCAAGAAGCAUGAGGCAUUUGAGAAGGCAUGUUCAGCCCAGGAGGAACGGUUUGCUGCCUUGGAGCGGCUGACCACGCUGGAAUUGCGAGAGCAGGAUAAGCGGCUCGGACUUAGAGACGAGCAAGGCCGUGCUCUUUACUAUGGUCAACGCUACACAGACGAUGAUCCGUUUGAGUUGAAAGAACUAAAGAGAAAACAGGAAGAGGAGGAGGAAGAACGGCAGCGACAAGAGGAGCUGGCGAGACAGGCGGCUGCCCCCCCCCCACAGUCCCCCGACCAACCCACGGACGGAGUCGAUGGUUCAGGAGAAGACUCCCACUUGAAUGGAGAGGAGCAUGAUGAAUCACGAGAAGCCGUUGCACCACCAUCGGCUGUUGCUCCUCCCAAGGGCCACCCCCAUACAUUGCCCCGAGAGCAUGAUGAGAGCGCAGCUGUUCUUCGGGGUAGUGCACCCAGCACCCCACGUCCCCCAUCCACCCCCGCCACACCCACCUCUGCCGCUGCCGGGGCCGGGCGAGGGCGGCCGGCAUCUGCCACCCUCCCUGCCACCACUUCGCCCCCUACUCCUGCUAGCAAGGAGUCACGACGGAGGGUGCGUUCUAGAUCCAAGUCUCCAUUCCGCUCUUUCCGCUGGAAGAAAACCAAGACUUCUCCAUCCGAAGCACCGGGUAGUGCAUCUGACGAUGAAUCGAACCUGGAAAGGGCAGCAGAGAGACCAAGCCCGACCGGUGACGAGGACCAGCUGGAAGGUAGUCUGGUGCGCAAACACGAGUGGGAGUCGACCACGAAGAAAGCGUCCAACAGGUCGUGGGACAAGCUGUUCCUGGUCCUGCGAGGCAACACACUCUUCUUCUACAAAGACCGCAAGAGUUACCAAGCCGCCCCAGAGGUGUACUUCAGGGCUGAGAUUCCUUGCGACCUCUCUGGGGGCCAGGCCUCCGUGGCUGACGACUAUACCAAGAAGAAGCAUGUGCUGCGCCUGAGAUUGGUUAGUGGCUCUGAGUAUUUGUUCCAAGCCAAAGAUGAAGACGAGCUGAACACGUGGGUAGCCGCCCUUCAGGUGGCCACGUCCGCCGAGGGUUCUGCCGGCCCGUCCCGCUCCCAGACACUGCCGGCCGGCUCCGAGAAGAAGGAUGAGCCCAAGCGACGUAGUUUCUUCACCCUCAAGAAGAAAUAAUGGACUGCCUUAAGUCCGUGACUGACCACUCUCCCUCCAGUUCCUUGCUUCCUUUUCUAUAUAGUCAUUAUUCUUUCUGCUGGUAAUCUCCUCCUCUUCUGUCCGGAAUCUUUUAAUGUUAAAAACUUUUAUAAAUGCCCAUUUUCAGACCCAGCAUGGAAUACAUACAUGGGGUUUGGAUUGCUGCUGCUGGUGUAGGCCUUUGUUGUUGGCAACUAUUACUGCUGUGGGAGUGGGGACAGAAUAUGCUGUGCUUGGCAUCAUCAGCUUACCCCCAUGCACUGCCUCCUAUGCUGGGUCCGAAGAGAAGCAUCACGAAAAUUGUGCUGAUUUUUCUAUAUUGACAAUUUUAUUCUCUAAAAGAUUACUUGACCUUUUAAUUGUAUUAUUGGUAUCGCGCAUGAUAUCAAAUUUGCCCCGACAUAAAAAUGUUGAUAGUUUUGUGUACUAGUUGAGGUGGAAGAAAUGUGAGUGUGUGCAGUUCCCCAUGUCUGCCUAGCACUGCCAUGGCUGAGUGUUCCUCUCUCGAGGGAUAGUGUGGAAAUAAUAUAUUUAGUGAAUUCUCAUAUGUCCUUUACUUUACAAAAAUAAUGAUUUGUUAAUUUUAUCUGUCUUUAGCUGUAGUACCACAGUUUUGACUAGAUAGCACUUAUGUAAUUGUACUGUACAGAGAAGAUUAGAACUAUACCUACUGUGCUGCUUUAAGCUUAAAUUUACAAACCAUUCAUGUACCACUUCACAGCUGUUCAAAUCAUUACGAGAGUAUGAGAGCCAGCCACCAACUUAGUCUUGUAAAUGGGCAAAUGUACUCUGCUUGGGAGAGUAGAUGUGUCAUGAAGAUAGUAAUUACUUUUUCAUUAUCAUUUUUUCCCUUCCAAGUUUUCAGCCAUAAGUUUUCAUACAAAAAAAUCAAAUUCAGCAUUUCAACAUCAGCAUUGAUCUGGAGCGCUCCGGAGUCCUUCACAGAGCGGCCGGCCUCCCCCAGCAACGGCGAGAGUCCUGUGGUCCUGAUUAGCAUGGCCUGGUGCCACAUCUUUUGUUUGGUGGGGCUUGGCUGGCUGUGGGCUGGCGGAAGAGGAUCACCGGAACACUACACAACUCCGUAACUCUUUGCUAGAAGCCGUGAUGGAAACAAUGUGGGAAGGAAUGUCAUGAAGCGAUCUGUAAUGUAAUGGUGCUGUAGAUACUUAAUUCAGAUUGUACCUCGUCUUGUACAAAAUUCAUGAUCAGAAUGUCACGAAGUUGUAUCUUUUAUUUUUCCAGACAGAGCUACAUAGUAAUUCACCAUUUGUAUUUAGGAAGUGUAGGUAUUCAUUGUUUUUUCUUAGGUUGGCGCUAAAUAAUUCACAUCAUUAUACUUUCUUGUACUUUGCAUUAUGUUUCUUGCACUGAGAUGACUAUUUUUUUUGUACUUUACUUUCUUACUUUCCAAAAAUGAUAUAUUAGGGAGAGGAAACAAACAAAAAACUGUGUGUAUUUUCUAAAAAUAAAUAUAUUUCCCCAAAAA